GUAAUGUCUGGGAAACUGCCUGAUGGAGGGGGAUAACUACUGGAAACGGUGGCUAAUACCGCAUAACGUCGCAAGACCAAAGAGGGGGACCUUCGGGCCUCUUGCCAUCAGAUGUGCCCAGAUGGGAUUAGCUUGUUGGUGAGGUAACGGCUCACCAAGGCGACGAUCCCUAGCUGGUCUGAGAGGAUGACCAGCCACACUGGAACUGAGACACGGUCCAGACUCCUACGGGAGGCAGCAGUGGGGAAUAUUGCACAAUGGGCGCAAGCCUGAUGCAGCCAUGCCGCGUGUAUGAAGAAGGCCUUCGGGUUGUAAAGUACUUUCAGCGGGGAGGAAGGUGUUGCGGUUAAUAACUGCAGCAAUUGACGUUACCCGCAGAAGAAGCACCGGCUAACUCCGUGCCAGCAGCCGCGGUAAUACGGAGGGUGCAAGCGUUAAUCGGAAUUACUGGGCGUAAAGCGCACGCAGGCGGUCUGUCAAGUCGGAUGUGAAAUCCCCGGGCUCAACCUGGGAACUGCAUUCGAAACUGGCAGGCUUGAGUCUUGUAGAGGGGGGUAGAAUUCCAGGUGUAGCGGUGAAAUGCGUAGAGAUCUGGAGGAAUACCGGUGGCGAAGGCGGCCCCCUGGACAAAGACUGACGCUCAGGUGCGAAAGCGUGGGGAGCAAACAGGAUUAGAUACCCUGGUAGUCCACGCCGUAAACGAUGUCUACUUGGAGGUUGUGCCCUUGAGGCGUGGCUUCCGGAGCUAACGCGUUAAGUAGACCGCCUGGGGAGUACGGCCGCAAGGUUAAAACUCAAAUGAAUUGACGGGGGCCCGCACAAGCGGUGGAGCAUGUGGUUUAAUUCGAUGCAACGCGAAGAACCUUACCUGGUCUUGACAUCCACGGAAGUUUUCAGAGAUGAGAAUGUGCCUUCGGGAACCGUGAGACAGGUGCUGCAUGGCUGUCGUCAGCUCGUGUUGUGAAAUGUUGGGUUAAGUCCCGCAACGAGCGCAACCCUUAUCCUUUGUUGCCAGCGGUUAGGCCGGGAACUCAAAGGAGACUGCCAGUGAUAAACUGGAGGAAGGUGGGGAUGACGUCAAGUCAUCAUGGCCCUUACGACCAGGGCUACACACGUGCUACAAUGGCGCAUACAAAGAGAAGCGACCUCGCGAGAGCAAGCGGACCUCAUAAAGUGCGUCGUAGUCCGGAUUGGAGUCUGCAACUCGACUCCAUGAAGUCGGAAUCGCUAGUAAUCGUGGAUCAGAAUGCCACGGUGAAUACGUUCCCGGGCCUUGUACACACCGCCCGUCACACCAUGGGAGUGGGUUGCAAAAGAAGUAGGUAGCUUAACCUUCGGGAGGGCGCUUACCACUUUGUGAUUCAUGACUGGGGUGAAGUCGUAACAAGGUAACCGUAGGGGAACCUGC
This 1408-nucleotide ribosomal RNA is filed under the name Salmonella enterica subsp. enterica serovar Durham. RNAcentral describes it as "bacterial SSU rRNA". It matches the Rfam family "Bacterial small subunit ribosomal RNA". The record is from RNAcentral. Lineage: Bacteria; Pseudomonadati; Pseudomonadota; Gammaproteobacteria; Enterobacterales; Enterobacteriaceae.